CAAAACCUCUGGUCGCGGUGACUGACCCAGAUUGGAUCUGGCAACAUUCUCCUAGGACACAUAUAUUCACCUUCUUUUAUGAUUUCUUGC
Non-coding RNA from Pseudonaja textilis, 90 nucleotides. NCBI's taxonomy places the organism in Eukaryota, Metazoa, Chordata, Lepidosauria, Squamata, Elapidae. The record is from RefSeq and is a predicted model, not a curated record.